GAUGAACGCUGGCGGCGUGCCUAAUACAUGCAAGUCGAGCGAACGGACGAGAAGCUUGCUUCUCUGAUGUUAGCGGCGGACGGGUGAGUAACACGUGGAUAACCUACCUAUAAGACUGGGAUAACUUCGGGAAACCGGAGCUAAUACCGGAUAAUAUUUUGAACCGCAUGGUUCAAAAGUGAAAGACGGUCUUGCUGUCACUUAUAGAUGGAUCCGCGCUGCAUUAGCUAGUUGGUAAGGUAACGGCUUACCAAGGCAACGAUGCAUAGCCGACCUGAGAGGGUGAUCGGCCACACUGGAACUGAGACACGGUCCAGACUCCUACGGGAGGCAGCAGUAGGGAAUCUUCCGCAAUGGGCGAAAGCCUGACGGAGCAACGCCGCGUGAGUGAUGAAGGUCUUCGGAUCGUAAAACUCUGUUAUUAGGGAAGAACAUAUGUGUAAGUAACUGUGCACAUCUUGACGGUACCUAAUCAGAAAGCCACGGCUAACUACGUGCCAGCAGCCGCGGUAAUACGUAGGUGGCAAGCGUUAUCCGGAAUUAUUGGGCGUAAAGCGCGCGUAGGCGGUUUUUUAAGUCUGAUGUGAAAGCCCACGGCUCAACCGUGGAGGGUCAUUGGAAACUGGAAAACUUGAGUGCAGAAGAGGAAAGUGGAAUUCCAUGUGUAGCGGUGAAAUGCGCAGAGAUAUGGAGGAACACCAGUGGCGAAGGCGACUUUCUGGUCUGUAACUGACGCUGAUGUGCGAAAGCGUGGGGAUCAAACAGGAUUAGAUACCCUGGUAGUCCACGCCGUAAACGAUGAGUGCUAAGUGUUAGGGGGUUUCCGCCCCUUAGUGCUGCAGCUAACGCAUUAAGCACUCCGCCUGGGGAGUACGACCGCAAGGUUGAAACUCAAAGGAAUUGACGGGGACCCGCACAAGCGGUGGAGCAUGUGGUUUAAUUCGAGGCAACGCGAAGAACCUUACCAAAUCUUGACAUCCUUUGACAACUCUAGAGAUAGAGCCUUCCCCUUCGGGGGACAAAGUGACAGGUGGUGCAUGGUUGUCGUCAGCCCGUGUCGUGAGAUGUUGGGUUAAGUCCCGCAACGAGCGCAACCCUUAAGCUUAGUUGCCAUCAUUAAGUUGGGCACUCUAAGUUGACUGCCGGUGACAAACCGGAGGAAGGUGGGGAUGACGUCAAAUCAUCAUGCCCCUUAUGAUUUGGGCUACACACGUGCUACAAUGGACAAUACAAAGGGCAGCGAAACCGCGAGGUCAAGCAAAUCCCAUAAAGUUGUUCUCAGUUCGGAUUGUAGUCUGCAACUCGACUACAUGAAGCUGGAAUCGCUAGUAAUCGUAGAUCAGCAUGCUACGGUGAAUACGUUCCCGGGUCU
Molecule: ribosomal RNA, 1372 nt
Filed under: uncultured bacterium
Lineage: Bacteria
Description: bacterial SSU rRNA
Rfam family: Bacterial small subunit ribosomal RNA
Source: RNAcentral